UGGACGUCCCUCCCAUGGGACAAUGAUCCUUCCGCAGUGUACACUUGUAGAAGCCUUAGCGGGUCCAAAAGACCGGUUCCGCGACUCAAAAUAAGAGAUGACCCCAUCCUCCACAUUGUGGGCGGGUGGCGCUAGUCGGUCCCAUGUCCAUGUUCUAUGUGACGGGGCGCCGGCGACACUAUCGAAUUGCGGGGAUACCCUAAAGGGCGGCCGUACGAACCCCGAGGUGAAAGUCUCGGGCUGCGAUAGUUAACAGCUAUCGGAAACGUAAAAAUCGGUCGCCAUGAUCCCCUGCCCGAGGAGGGGGGAAAUGGGCAAUCCGCAGCCAAGGGCCUAAGGCCGUCUUCAAGGGCGGCUACGGUCAAGGUUCACAGACUAAGUGGUAGUGGGUGUGGUCUAUGUGGCCAUGCUUAAGAUAUAGUCGGGCCAUCAGGGAAACCUGAUGGGUAAGUACACUGCAUGUGGCAAGAGUUAAUUAACCCUUCCCUACGUCUUCUGACGUUCUGUAAACCGUUCCGUAGGUGAACCUGCGGAAGGAUCAUUAAAGAGUAAGGGUCAUUCGUGGCCCGACCUCCAACCCUUUGUUGUUAUAACUACCUCGUUGCUUUGGCGGGACCGCUCGGUCUCGAGCUGCCGGUCUUCGGCCCGGCAAGCGCCCGCCAGAGUCUACUCAAACUCUUGUUUUAACCGGUCGUCUGAGUUAAACUUUUAAUUAAAUUAAAACUUUCAACAACGGAUCUCUUGGUUCUCGCAUCGAUGAAGAACGCAGCGAAAUGCGAUAAGUAAUGUGAAUUGCAGAAUUCAGUGAAUCAUCGAAUCUUUGAACGCACAUUGCGCUCCUGGUAUUCCGGGGAGCAUGCCUGUUCGAGCGUCAUUACACCACUCAAGCACCGCUUGGUAUUAGGCCGUCGUCUUCCGCAAGGUGGGCGUGCCUCAAACACCUCGGCGGAGCCUCACCGGCUUUGGGCGUAGUAGAAUUUCUCAACGUCUUGUAAGCACCGGCUUGACUCCUUUGCCGUUAAAACCCCAAUUUUUUAACAGGUUGACCUCGGAUCAGGUAGGGAUACCCGCUGAACUUAAGCAUAUCAAUAAGCGGAGGAAAAGAAACCAACAGGGAUUGCCCUAGUAACGGCGAGUGAAGCGGCAACAGCUCAAAUUUGAAAUCUGGCACUUGUGUCCGAGUUGUAAUUUGUAGAGGAUGCUUUUAGGCAGCCACCGGUCUAAGUUCCUUGGAACAGGACGUCAUAGAGGGUGAGAAUCCCGUAUGUGACCGGACAGGCACCUUCUGUAAAGCUCCUUCGACGAGUCGAGUUGUUUGGGAAUGCAGCUCUAAAUGGGAGGUAAAUUUCUUCUAAAGCUAAAUACCGGCGAGAGACCGAUAGCGCACAAGUAGAGUGAUCGAAAGAUGAAAAGCACUUUGGAAAGAGAGUUAAAAAGCACGUGAAAUUGUUGAAAGGGAAGCGCUUGCAAUCAGACUUGUCCUCGGGUGUUCCGCCGGUCUUCUGACCGGUCUACUCAUUCGGGGGCAGGCCAGCAUCACUUUCGGCGGCCGGAUAAAGGCAUUGGGAAUGUAGCUCAACCUUCGGGGGGAGUGUUAUAGCCCAGUGUGUAAUACGGCCAGCCGGGAGUGAGGUCCGCGCUC
RNAcentral lists this ribosomal RNA (1642 nucleotides) under Dothideomycetes sp. 11143. RNAcentral's name for it is "eukaryotic LSU rRNA". The stretch from base 1044 to 1642 matches the Rfam family "Eukaryotic large subunit ribosomal RNA", at positions 1 to 607 of the family's 3401-position model. Lineage: Eukaryota; Fungi; Ascomycota; Dothideomycetes. The record is from RNAcentral.